CGGGACACGUGGUAUCCUGUCUGAAUAUGGGGGGACCAUCCUCCAAGGCUAAAUACUCCUGACUGACCGAUAGUGAACCAGUACCGUGAGGGAAAGGCGAAAAGAACCCCGGCGAGGGGAGUGAAAAAGAACCUGAAACCGUGUACGUACAAGCAGUGGGAGCACGCUUAGGCGUGUGACUGCGUACCUUUUGUAUAAUGGGUCAGCGACUUAUAUUCUGUAGCAAGGUUAACCGAAUAGGGGAGCCGAAGGGAAACCGAGUCUUAACUGGGCGUUAAGUUGCAGGGUAUAGACCCGAAACCCGGUGAUCUAGCCAUGGGCAGGUUGAAGGUUGGGUAACACUAACUGGAGGACCGAACCGACUAAUGUUGAAAAAUUAGCGGAUGACUUGUGGCUGGGGGUGAAAGGCCAAUCAAACCGGGAGAUAGCUGGUUCUCCCCGAAAGCUAUUUAGGUAGCGCCUCGUGAAUUCAUCUCCGGGGGUAGAGCACUGUUUCGGCAAGGGGGUCAUCCCGACUUACCAACCCGAUGCAAACUGCGAAUACCGGAGAAUGUUAUCACGGGAGACACACGGCGGGUGCUAACGUCCGUCGUGAAGAGGGAAACAACCCAGACCGCCAGCUAAGGUCCCAAAGUCAUGGUUAAGUGGGAAACGAUGUGGGAAGGCCCAGACAGCCAGGAUGUUGGCUUAGAAGCAGCCAUCAUUUAAAGAAAGCGUAAUAGCUCACUGGUCGAGUCGGCCUGCGCGGAAGAUGUAACGGGGCUAAACCAUGCACCGAAGCUGCGGCAGCGACGCUUAUGCGUUGUUGGGUAGGGGAGCGUUCUGUAAGCCUGUGAAGGUGUACUGUGAGGUAUGCUGGAGGUAUCAGAAGUGCGAAUGCUGACAUAAGUAACGAUAAAGCGGGUGAAAAGCCCGCUCGCCGGAAGACCAAGGGUUCCUGUCCAACGUUAAUCGGGGCAGGGUGAGUCGACCCCUAAGGCGAGGCCGAAAGGCGUAGUCGAUGGGAAACAGGUUAAUAUUCCUGUACUUGGUGUUACUGCGAAGGGGGGACGGAGAAGGCUAUGUUGGCCGGGCGACGGUUGUCCCGGUUUAAGCGUGUAGGCUGGUUUUCCAGGCAAAUCCGGAAAAUCAAGGCUGAGGCGUGAUGACGAGGCACUACGGUGCUGAAGCAACAAAUGCCCUGCUUCCAGGAAAAGCCUCUAAGCAUCAGGUAACAUCAAAUCGUACCCCAAACCGACACAGGUGGUCAGGUAGAGAAUACCAAGGCGCUUGAGAGAACUCGGGUGAAGGAACUAGGCAAAAUGGUGCCGUAACUUCGGGAGAAGGCACGCUGAUAUGUAGGUGAAGUGAUUUACUCAUGGAGCUGAAAUCAGUCGAAGAUACCAGCUGGCUGCAACUGUUUAUUAAAAACACAGCACUGUGCAAACACGAAAGUGGACGUAUACGGUGUGACGCCUGCCCGGUGCCGGAAGGUUAAUUGAUGGGGUCAGCGCAAGCGAAGCUCUUGAUCGAAGCCCCGGUAAACGGCGGCCGUAACUAUAACGGUCCUAAGGUAGCGAAAUUCCUUGUCGGGUAAGUUCCGACCUGCACGAAUGGCGUAAUGAUGGCCAGGCUGUCUCCACCCGAGACUCAGUGAAAUUGAACUCGCUGUGAAGAUGCAGUGUACCCGCGGCAAGACGGAAAGACCCCGUGAACCUUUACUAUAGCUUGACACUGAACAUUGAGCCUUGAUGUGUAGGAUAGGUGGGAGGCUUUGAAGUGUGGACGCCAGUCUGCAUGGAGCCGACCUUGAAAUACCACCCUUUAAUGUUUGAUGUUCUAACGUGGACCCGUAAUCCGGGUUGCGGACAGUGUCUGGUGGGUAGUUUGACUGGGGCGGUCUCCUCCUAAAGAGUAACGGAGGAGCACGAAGGUUGGCUAAUCCUGGUCGGACAUCAGGAGGUUAGUGCAAUGGCAUAAGCCAGCUUGACUGCGAGCGUGACGGCGCGAGCAGGUGCGAAAGCAGGUCAUAGUGAUCCGGUGGUUCUGAAUGGAAGGGCCAUCGCUCAACGGAUAAAAGGUACUCCGGGGAUAACAGGCUGAUACCGCCCAAGAGUUCAUAUCGACGGCGGUGUUUGGCACCUCGAUGUCGGCUCAUCACAUCCUGGGGCUGAAGUAGGUCCCAAGGGUAUGGCUGUUCGCCAUUUAAAGUGGUACGCGAGCUGGGUUUAGAACGUCGUGAGACAGUUCGGUCCCUA
Molecule: ribosomal RNA, 2237 nt
Filed under: Escherichia coli
Lineage: Bacteria; Pseudomonadati; Pseudomonadota; Gammaproteobacteria; Enterobacterales; Enterobacteriaceae
Description: partial 23S ribosomal RNA
Rfam family: Bacterial large subunit ribosomal RNA
Source: RNAcentral